GUGCUCAUUUCAGCAGCACAUAUACUGAACUGGAACAAUUCAGUUAAGAUUAGCAUGGCCCCUGCACAAGGCUGACAUGCAAAUUCAUGAAGAGUUCUAUGUAUAA
RNAcentral lists this small nuclear RNA (106 nucleotides) under Suricata suricatta (meerkat). Lineage: Eukaryota; Metazoa; Chordata; Mammalia; Carnivora; Herpestidae. The record is from RNAcentral.